GCACAAGCGGCGGAGCAUGUGGAUUAAUUCGAUGCAACGCGAAGAACCUUACCUGGGCUUGACAUACACCGGAUCGCUGCAGAGAUGUAGUUUCCCUUGUGGCUGGUGUACAGGUGGUGCAUGGUUGUCGUCAGCUCGUGUCGUGAGAUGUUGGGUUAAGUCCCGCAACGAGCGCAACCCUUGUCUUAUGUUGCCAGCACGUGAUGGUGGGGACUUAUGAGAAACUGCCGGGGUUAACUCGGAGGAAGGUGGGGAUGACGUCAAAUCAUCAUGCCCCUUAUGUCCAGGGCUUCACACAUGCUACAAUGGUCGGUACAACGCGCAGCUACCUCGUGAGGGGACGCGAAUCGCUGAAAGCCGGCCUUAGUUCGGAUUGGGGUCUGCAACUCGACCCCAUGAAGUCGGAGUCGCUAGUAAU
RNAcentral lists this ribosomal RNA (418 nucleotides) under Corynebacterium riegelii. RNAcentral's name for it is "bacterial SSU rRNA". It matches the Rfam family "Bacterial small subunit ribosomal RNA", at positions 923 to 1342 of the family's 1533-position model. The record is from RNAcentral. Lineage: Bacteria; Bacillati; Actinomycetota; Actinomycetes; Mycobacteriales; Corynebacteriaceae.